Molecule: ribosomal RNA, 253 nt
Filed under: uncultured bacterium
Lineage: Bacteria
Description: partial 16S ribosomal RNA
Rfam family: Bacterial small subunit ribosomal RNA
Source: RNAcentral
UACGAAGGGGGCUAGCGUUGCUCGGAAUCACUGGGCGUAAAGCGCACGUAGGCGGACUCUUAAGUCAGAGGUGAAAUCCUGGAGCUCAACUCCAGAACUGCCUUUGAUACUGGGAGCCUUGAGUUCGGGAGAGGUGAGUGGAACUGCGAGUGUAGAGGUGAAAUUCGUAGAUAUUCGCAAGAACACCAGUGGCGAAGGCGGCUCACUGGCCCGGUACUGACGCUGAGGCACGAAAGCGUGGGGAGCAAACAGG